Sander lucioperca (pikeperch) is the source of this 2168-nucleotide RNA transcript. It is a transcript of the gene named serine/arginine repetitive matrix protein 1-like, with no coding region annotated. The record is from RefSeq and is a predicted model, not a curated record. The transcript is spliced from 6 exons. NCBI's taxonomy places the organism in Eukaryota, Metazoa, Chordata, Actinopteri, Perciformes, Percidae.
UACAGUACCGUGUACCCGUGAACGGCGAGAGCGAGCAACUACAAUAGAAGUCUAUGAUAGUUUCAAAAUGUUUUUUUUUAGCGCCGAAUCCAUUAUCACUGACCACCACCACCACGAUAAAAGACAAUGAAUCGCGGCACGAAACAACCAAAGGGGGGAGCCGAGAAAAAGAGAGAGAAAACAAAGAUAGCACGUUUCACAACGCCAGUAUACAAACGAGAAAUCAUCGAGAAAAUGUUUAGAUCCAUUUUUGGACUAAAAUUCUUUGCAAGACCUCGGUCUUCAGGAGAUAUGGACUCUUCUUCGAAGAAGUCCAAACGAAGGAGUGAGAGACCUUCAUCUCCUGAAGACCUCAACCCUCCCACCAUCUUGAGGGAGCACGGACGACGGGGUGAGAGACCUUCGUCUAGUGGAGGCACCAACCCUUCUACCAUCAUGAAGGAGCACAGGCAAAGGGGUGAGAGCCCUUUGUCUUGUGCAGAAAACCAGCCCUCUAUCACCAGGCAGCAAGAACGAAGGAAUGUGAGCUCUUUGUUCAUCGUGGGCACCAACCCUUCUACCAUCAUGAAGGAGCACAGGCAAAAGGGUGAGAGCCCUUUGUCUUGUGCAGAAAACAAGCCCUCUACCACCAGGCAGCAAAUACGAAGGGGUGAGAGCCCUUCCUCUUCAUCCUCUGAAGACGACCAGCCUUCUUCCACCAGGCAGCGAGUACGAAGGUUUGAGAGCCCUUCCUCUUCAUCCUCUGAAGACGACCAGCCUUCUACUCCAAGGCGGAAGCAAGCAUGGAGAGGUGAGAGCCCUCCGUCUUCAUCUUCUGAAGACGACCAGCCUUCUUCCACCAGGCAGCGAGUACGAAGGUUUGAGAGCCCUUCCUCUUCAUCCUCUGAAGACGACCAGCCUUCUACUCCAAGGCGGAAGCAAGCAUGGAGAGGUGAGAGCCCUCCGUCUUCAUCUUCUGAAGACGACCAGCCUUCUUCCACCAGGCAGCGAGUACGAAGGUUUGAGAGCCCUUCCUCUUCAUCCUCUGAAGACGACCAGCCUUCUACUCCAAGGCGGAAGCAAGCAUGGAGAGGUGAGAGCCCUCCGUCUUCAUCUUCUGAAGACGACCAGCCUUCUUCCACCAGGCAGCGAGUACGAAGGUUUGAGAGCCCUUCGUCUUCAUCCUCUGAAGACGACCAGCCUUCUACUCCAAGGCGGCAGCAAGAAAAAAGGGCUGAGAGCCCUUUGUCUUCAUUUUCUGAAGACGACGAGCCUUCUACCACAAGGAGGCAGCAACAACGAAGUAAUUUGUACUACUUUGUAGACUUCAACCUUUCUACCACCUUUAGGCAGGAUGGAGGAAUUGGUGAGAACCAUCUGCCCUGCGUUGACAUUGACCACCCUAGCAUCUGGUGGGAGCGCGUACGAAGGGUCAACCCUUCAAACACCUUGAGGCAGGACGGAAGUGGUGACAGCCCUUCCUCUACAUUUUCAUCUUCUGAAGACGACGAGCCUUCUACCACAUGGAGUCAGCAAGAAAGAAGGGCAAAUAGCCUGAGUGCGAGAAAGGAGAGGGAGAAGAUAAAGAAGGAGAGGAAAACGUUUGGUCUGCUUUCAAGAAUAUACAUUUGGUGGCUCGAAUGGAAGAUAGACCGCUGUGCCAGGGAAAUCCAAUCAACCUGUGAGGAUGCGUGCUACCUCCAGGUUCAUGGUCACUUCAGAAAUCCAGAGAUAAUGGCCAAGAUCCAAAAAGAGCUGCUUGACCGAAGGAAUGAGCUGGCCGUUUCAUAUCGCAGACAAGUAAUUAAGUUGGAGAUGGAAGUGAGGAAGCAAAGACUGAAGAGUGAGGACACGCCCCCCCGUUGAUUCUCCCCACACCUGGUACCAACUCUAAUCAGCGCACCUGCAGAGGAAACAUACUCAAAAUCCAGAGACAAUGGCCAAGAUCCAAAAAGAGCUGCUUGACCGAAGGAAUGAGCUGGCCGUUUCAUAUCGCAGACAAGUAAUUAAGUUGGAGAUGGAAGUGAGGAAGCAAAGACUGAAGAGUGAGGACACGACCCCCCCUGUUGAUUCUCCCCACACCUGGUACCAACUCUAAUCAGCGCACCUGCUGCUCAUCCUGCUCCAUCACCUGCCUUCAAAUGCCAGUCGGACUUUCCUCUCCCUGCCCGAUUGUUGCUUACCACUGA